GAGCUAAAUUUAAUUUGAUUUUGUUUUAUUUUUUUAUCAUUGUUCAUACCUUUUUUAUUGUGAACUCCACCAAAUAUUGGUUCCUAAGUAAGUUGAUUUCGUUGUUCCGUAUGGCAUGCCUUUUGUUUCCCUGGGGAGUGGUUUGGCGUUGCACCUGUGUGUCUAGCGUCAGUGAGCGCUGAUGCACGGAGCUGAGUGGAGAGUGAUAUCCCGGAUUGUGUGUGACGCCCGUGUUGUUUUGUCUCCUUUGGAAAGGUAUGCCUGUUAUGUGUCUUUGUUUAUGGUAAAAUAUGUAAAAUGAGUGUGAGGAAAAUGACAAUUCUCUAUUAUAUUUUAUUUCCUUUAUUAGUGUAUAUAUUUAAUAUACUGUCUUUAUAUUUAAUUUAUUUAUUUGAGAUCAUUUUAUGCUUUGUUUACAUUUUUAUAAUUUAUUCCCUACAUGUAUUCAUUGAAAGUCACAGGAUAUAUUAAGCUAGCGUGAGUGAGCGCUGAUGCACGGAGCUGAGUGGAGAGUGAUAUCCCGGAUUGUGUGUGACGCCCGUGUUGUUUUGUCUCCUUUGGAAAGAAUAAACCUCCAGUACUCGACUCCUGUGUGUGCCUCACUCAAAGAUACAAGACACAACGCAGAAAGACAUCGGUUACACAUG
Long non-coding RNA from Gadus chalcogrammus (walleye pollock), 647 nucleotides. RefSeq lists it as uncharacterized. Lineage: Eukaryota; Metazoa; Chordata; Actinopteri; Gadiformes; Gadidae. The transcript is spliced from 2 exons. The record is from RefSeq and is a predicted model, not a curated record.